RNAcentral lists this ribosomal RNA (1319 nucleotides) under metagenome. Its description in RNAcentral is "SSU rRNA". It matches the Rfam family "Eukaryotic small subunit ribosomal RNA", at positions 1 to 1275 of the family's 1831-position model. The record is from RNAcentral.
UCUGGUUGAUCCUGCCAGUAGUCAUACGCUUGUCUCAAAGAUUAAGCCAUGCAUGUCUAAGUAUAAAGGUUACAUACAAUGAAACUGCGAAUGGCUCAUUCAAACAGUUAUAGUUUAUUUGGAUUUACACAUUAGUUAAAUGGAUAACCGUAGUAAUUCUAGGGCUAAUACAUGCGUUACGGGGGACUUUACGGAACCCCAGUAUUUAUUAGAUUCAAACCAAUAUUCCGAAGGUCUACUUGAGAUGAUUCAUGAUAACUGAUCGAAUUGCUGGUCUACCGGCAAUAAGUCAUUCAUGUUUCUGCUUCCCAUCAGCUUGAUGGUAGUGUAUUGGACAACCAUGGCAUUCACGGGCUAUCGGGGGAUUAGGGUUCGAUUCCGGAGAGGGAGCCUGAGAAACGGCUACCACUUCUACGGAAGGCAGCAGGCGCGAAAAUUAUCCAAUCCUGAUUCAGGGAGGUAGUGAAACAAAUAAUGAACUAGGAUUUAUCCUGGGGUCACAAUGGGCUUGAUUUGCAAACUUUAUUUAGCGAGGAACAAUUGGAGGGCAAGUCUGGUGCCAGCAGCCGCGGUAAUUCCAGCUCCAAUAGUGUAUAUUAAUGUUCCUGCAGUUAUUCGAUGCUCGUAGUUGGAUUUCUGGAGGCUGAGAUCGGAGGGUAGCCAAGGUUACCGCUGAACUCUUCCUUCAUCCACCUGUUAACGUUGUCCGGGAUUCGUUUCUCGGCUUCGGGCUCAGGCAUAUACUUUUACCCUUUUUCUAUAUUUAUUGUUUUGAGUAAAUUAUAGUGUUUCAGGCAGGCGUGCGCCGGAAUACUUUAGCAUGGAAUAAUCGAAUUGGACCGUGUAUUCUUAUUGAAUUCUUCCUUAUUGUUGGUUCAAGGACACGGAAAUGGUUAAUAGGGAUAGUGUUUUUAUUAUCAGGGGAGGCAUUAGUAUUUAAUUUCCAGAGGUGAAAUUCUUUGAAAUAUUAAAGACUAACUUAUGCGAAAGCAUUUAUUAUUGCCAAUAAUGUUUUCAUUAAUCAUUGAACGAAAGUUAGGGGAUCAAAGACGAUCAGAUACCGUCCUAGUCUUAACCAUAAACGUUGCCGACUAGGGAUCGGAGGGCGUGCACAUUCCGCCUUCGGCACCUUACGAGAAAUCAAAGUCUUUUGGGUUCUGGGGGUAGUAUGGUCGCAAGGCUGAAACUUAAAGGAAUUGACGGAAGGGCACCACCAGGAGUGGAGCUUGCGGCUCAAUUUGACUCAACACGGGAAAUCUUACCAGGUCCAGACAUAGCGAGGAUUGACAGAUUGAUAGCUCUUUCUUGAUUCUAUGGUU